Molecule: ribosomal RNA, 806 nt
Filed under: uncultured archaeon
Lineage: Archaea
Description: bacterial SSU rRNA
Rfam family: Archaeal small subunit ribosomal RNA
Source: RNAcentral
AACAUGGCGUACUGCUCAGUAACCACGUGGAUAACCUGCCUUUGGGUCUGGGAUAACCCCGGGAAACUGGGGAUAAUACCGGAUAACGCAUAUAUGCUGGAAUGCUUUAUGCGUAAAAUGGAUUCGUCUGCCCAAGGAUGGGUCUGCGGCCUAUCAGGUAGUAGUGGGUGUAAUGUACCUACUAGCCUACAACGGGUACGGGUUGUGAGAGCAAGAGCCCGGAGAUGGAUUCUGAGACAUGAAUCCAGGCCCUACGGGGCGCAGCAGGCGCGAAAACUUUACAAUGCGGGAAACCGUGAUAAGGGGACGCCGAGUGCCAGCAUCAUAUGCUGGCUGUCCAGAUGUGUAAAAUACAUCUGUUAGCAAGGGCCGGGCAAGACCGGUGCCAGCCGCCGCGGUAACACCGGCGGCCCGAGUGGUGAUCGUGAUUAUUGGGUCUAAAGGGUCCGUAGCCGGUUUGGUCAGUCCUCCGGGAAAUCUGAUGGCUCAACCAUUAGGCUUUCGGGGGAUACUGCCAGGCUUGGAACCGGGAGAGGUAAGAGGUACUACAGGGGUAGGAGUGAAAUCUUGUAAUCCCUGUGAGACCACCUGUGGCGAAGGCGUCUUACCAGAACGGGUUCGACGGUGAGGGACGAAAGCUGGGGGCACGAACCGGAUUAGAUACCCGGGUAGUCCCAGCCGUAAACGAUGCUCGCUAGGUGUCAGGCAUGGCGCGACCGUGUCUGGUGCCGCAGGGAAGCCGUGAAGCGAGCCACCUGGGAAGUACGGCCGCAAGGCUGAAACUUAAAGGAAUUGGCGGGGGAGCA